Molecule: long non-coding RNA, 1077 nt
Filed under: Cicer arietinum (chickpea)
Lineage: Eukaryota; Viridiplantae; Streptophyta; Magnoliopsida; Fabales; Fabaceae
Description: long non-coding RNA (CARI_LNC000901)
Source: RNAcentral
GAAGAACGAAAUAUAUAUUUUUAAUAAAGAGAGAAAUAUAUUGUUUCUUUUGUUCUUUUCUUUCUUAACACUUUCUUUGGAAAUUAGCGGAGAAGGGAGGAGAGGGAAUGAAAGGAAACAUAGAGGAAAUUCCUAUAUUUAUUGAUCAUGAGAUCUAUUGGAACACUUGAAUUGGCAUAAAGAGAAAGCUACAAAAUGAUCCUCAUGACAGGAGCACUAAGUAAGUAAGCUAAUUUUAUUUUUUAUUUUUUCCUAUAAGAAAAAAUCAGGCAUAAAAUAUUGUCUCGAUAGAUAUAAUCUUAAGCCAUUGCCAAAAGUCUUAAUUUGAUUGUCCAUCGCCUGAUCCAAUCUUAUUCACGACUCAACUACAUGUUGCUUAAUUCCUUAAUUCAUUUUCAUUGAGCUAUUAAGAUGAGAAUUCAUAUAUAAGAAGAUGCAAUCAUUAAUCUAGAAUAGCAUACAUUAUCAAAACCAAAGGGUUAAAGCUAGUUUUCACUCUUCACAUUCAGGAAAAGUUAUAAACCUGCUACUGCCGCACAAAAUGAAAAUAGUAAUCACAUACGUUCAGUUUAUGCAUAUGUUCAUAUACAAAAAUAAAAAUAAAAAGAGAGAGAGGGGGGGACAGGGGGAGAAUGAUAAUUGAUGUCGAGAAAAUUGGGGUGCCAGGCAGGAUUGACGUUUCACUUAUAUCAAACAAAACUAUAUAUCAUUCAUUUGGUAACACAAUAUUGUGUUUGGGUUAUGUGACAAAGCUUGUGUUGUGGAACACCGAUUUUAAUUUUACUCAAAAACUCUUAAUAACGCCUCUAAACAUACUUCUAUGUUCUAUCUACCCAAAAAUAAUAAUACUACCAUAUUCAAUAAGCGACACAUUUAUCAAAAAAUAUUUUAAAUUUAAUGACUCUUUUAAUGGUGUAUAAAAUAUUAGUUUUGCAAUUAAAUAUCAUUUUUUAUUAUGUAAAUGAUAGAGAAAUAAUAAUACUUUUAUUGAGUUAUUAAUGUCGGUAUAUUUAUUAUUAUCGUUAAUGCAAAGAAGAACGUAUUAAUUUAGAAAUGCUGAGUAAUAUUUAAUUAGAU